This is a non-coding RNA of Capsicum annuum, 91 nucleotides long. The record is from Rfam. NCBI's taxonomy places the organism in Eukaryota, Viridiplantae, Streptophyta, Magnoliopsida, Solanales, Solanaceae.
CUGCUGUGAUGAAACUCGGAACUUGUUGAAAGUUUUGAUACUUGGUGAAACCCUCAACAACAAUGUUGAUCCUGAGCGGUUACCUGAGCAG